CACGACUACAUUAGAUACCCGUGUAGUCCUAGCCGUAAACGAUACUCGCUAGGUGUCGGCCACGGUGCGACCGUUGUCGGUGCCGUAGGGAAGCCGUGAAGCGAGCCACCUGGGAAGUACGGCCGCAAGGCUGAAACUUAAAGGAAUUGGCGGGGGAGCACCACAACGGGUGGAGCUUGCGGUUUAAUUGGAUUCAACGCCGGAAAUCUUACCGGGACCGACAGCAACAUGAAGGCCAGGCUGAAGACUUUGCCGGAUUAGCUG
This 264-nucleotide ribosomal RNA is filed under the name uncultured archaeon. RNAcentral describes it as "partial 16S ribosomal RNA". It matches the Rfam family "Archaeal small subunit ribosomal RNA", at positions 718 to 982 of the family's 1478-position model. The record is from RNAcentral.